This 433-nucleotide ribosomal RNA is filed under the name uncultured bacterium. RNAcentral describes it as "partial 16S ribosomal RNA". It matches the Rfam family "Bacterial small subunit ribosomal RNA", at positions 29 to 507 of the family's 1533-position model. The record is from RNAcentral.
AACGAACGCUGGCGGCAUGCCUAACACAUGCAAGUCGAACGAGACCUUCGGGUCUAGUGGCGCACGGGUGCGUAACGCGUGGGAACCUGCCCUUAGGUUCGGAAUAACUCCCCGAAAGGGGUGCUAAUACCGGAUAAUGUCUUCGGACCAAAGAUUUAUCGCCCUUGGAUGGGCCCGCGUUGGAUUAGCUUGUUGGUAGGGGAAAAGCCUAUCAAGGCUAAGUUCCAUAGCUGGUCUGAGAGAAAGAUCAGCCACACUGGGUGUGAGACACGGCGCAGACUCUUACGGGAGGCAGCAGUGGGGAAUAUAGGACAAUGGGCGGAAGCCUGAUGCAGCACUGCCGGGUGAGUGAUGAAGGCCUUAGGGUUGUAAAGCUCUUUUACCCGGGAUGAUAAUGACGGUACCGGGAGAAUAAGCACCGGCUAACUCCGUG